Molecule: ribosomal RNA, 465 nt
Filed under: uncultured bacterium
Lineage: Bacteria
Description: partial 16S ribosomal RNA
Rfam family: Bacterial small subunit ribosomal RNA
Source: RNAcentral
CCUACGGGAGGCAGCAGUGGGGAAUAUUGCGCAAUGGGCGAAAGCCUGACGCAGCGACGCCGCGUGAGGGAUGAAGGUCUUCGGAUCGUAAACCUCUGUCAGCAGGGAAGAACGGUCACUGUGCUAAUCAGCAGUGAAUUGACGGUACCUGCAAAGGAAGCACCGGCUAACUCCGUGCCAGCAGCCGCGGUAAUACGGGGGGUGCGAGCGUUACUCGGAAGUACUGGGCGUAAAGCGCUCGUAGGCGGUAUGUCAAGUCAAGGGUGAAAUCCCCGCGCUCAACGGGGGAACUGCCUUUGAAACUGGCAAACUGGAGUGUGUGAUAGGAUAGUGGAAUUCCAGGUGUAGGAGUGAAAUCCGUAGAUAUCUGGAGGAACAUCAGUGGCGAAGGCGACUAUCUGGCACAUAACUGACGCUGAGGAGCGAAAGCGUGGGUAGCAAACAGGAUUAGAUACCCGAGUAGUC